AACGAACGCUGGCGGCAUGCCUAACACAUGCAAGUCGAACGAUGCCUUCGGGCAUAGUGGCGCACGGGUGCGUAACGCGUGGGAAUCUGCCUUUCGGUUCGGAAUAACUCAGGGAAACUUGAGCUAAUACCGGAUAACGUCGCAAGACCAAAGAUUUAUCAGGGUAGGAUGAGCCCGCGUAGGAUUAGCUUGUUGGUGAGGUAAAGGCUUACCAAGGCGACGAUCCGUAGCCGGGCUGAGAGGAUGGACGGCCACACUGGGACUGAGAUACGGCCCAGACUCCUACGGGAGGCAGCAGUGGGGAAUAUUGCACACGGGGCGCAAGGCUGAUGCAGCGAGGCCGCGUGGGGGAGGACGGGCUUCGGGUUGUAAACGGCUUUCGCUAGGGACGAAGCUUUUUGUGACGGUACCUAGAUAAGAAGCACCGGCUAACUACGUG
This 439-nucleotide ribosomal RNA is filed under the name uncultured bacterium. Its description in RNAcentral is "partial 16S ribosomal RNA". It matches the Rfam family "Bacterial small subunit ribosomal RNA", at positions 29 to 507 of the family's 1533-position model. The record is from RNAcentral.